GGAGGUUUCCGGGUGAUGCUCCCCAGAAUCGGGUUCCUUUCUCUCUGGUUCCAGGGUGUGUCACCCAAGAACCACU
Molecule: non-coding RNA, 76 nt
Organism: Myotis davidii
Lineage: Eukaryota; Metazoa; Chordata; Mammalia; Chiroptera; Vespertilionidae
Source: Rfam